UUCGGAGGGUGCAAGCGUUAUCCGGAUUCACUGGGUUUAAAGGGUGCGUAGGAGGGCAGGUAAGUCAGUGGUGAAAUCUCCGAGCUUAACUUGGAAACUGCCGUUGAUACUAUCUGUCUUGAAUAUUGUGGAGGUGAGCGGAAUAUGUCAUGUAGCGGUGAAAUGCUUAGAUAUGACAUAGAACACCAAUUGGGAAGGCAGCACGCUACACAUAUAUUGACUCUGAGGCACGAAAGCGUGGGGA
This 244-nucleotide ribosomal RNA is filed under the name uncultured bacterium. Its description in RNAcentral is "partial 16S ribosomal RNA". It matches the Rfam family "Bacterial small subunit ribosomal RNA", at positions 524 to 767 of the family's 1533-position model. The record is from RNAcentral.